AGCCCCUCACCAUGUCCCCGCCGCCCCUUCCGCUCCUGACGGGGCCGGGUCAGGGAGCGGAGGGCGCGGGGCGGAGCCGCCUCCCCCCUCCCCACAUCGCCCCCUGCUGGCGGCUGCCGGGAGCUGCCGGGCGCCAUUUUGCCCUCCCCGCCCCUCAGCCCCACACAAGCAGCAGGCGGAGCGGGGCGAGGCUGCACGGCUUUAAUGGCGGGGCCGGCCCCACAGCGACACCGCGUCCCCACGGGUCGGCUCCGGGCAGCCCGGGGGCCAUGGGGAGCCCGGGGGCUUUGGGGAGUCCGGGGGCUCCGGCGUGGAUCAGUCCUGUGGGGAUAGGGGGCGGUGAGAGCGGCAGGGCUCGCUCCUCACGCCCCCCGUCACGGUGUCCCCAUGUUGUGGUGUCACAGUGUCCCCAUGUCGAGAUGUCCCGGUGUCCCCAUGUCCCGGUGUUCCAGUGUCCCCAUAUCACGAUGUCCCGAUGUCACAGCAUCCCGGUGUCCCCAUGUCACGGUGUCCCCAUAUUGCAGCACCCCGGUGUCCCCAUAUUGCUGCAUCCCAAUGUCCCCAUAUUGUGGUGUCCCAGUGUCCCCAUGUCAAGGUGUCCUGGUGUCCCCAUGUCGUGGUGUCCCAGUCUCCCCAUGUCACGGUGUCCCCAUAUUGCAGCAUCCCAGUGUCCCCAUGUUGUGGUGUCCCCAUGUCGUGGCGUCCCCUUGGCCCCAUGUCCCAGUGUCCCCAUAUUGCAGCAUCCCAGUGUCCCCAUGUCGUGGUGUCCCCAUGUCAUGGUGUCCCGGUGUCCCCAUGUCAAGGCGUCCCAGUGUCCCCAUGUGACAGUGUCCUGGUGUCCCCAUGUUGUGGUGUCCCAGUCUCCCCAUGUCACAGUGUCCCCAUAUCGCAGCAUCCCGGUGUCCCCAUGUCUUGGUGUCCCAGUGUCCCUAUGUCACGGUGACCCGGUGUCCCCAUGUUGCGGUGUCCUGGUGUCCCCACAUCGUGGUGUCCCCUUGUCCCCAUGUUGCAGCAUCCCAGUGUCCCCAUGUCGCGGUGUCCUGGUGUCCCCAUGUUGUAGUGUCCCCUUGUCCCUGUGUCCCCAUGUCACGGCAUCCAGGUGUCCCUAUGUCGCAGUGUCCCCUUGUCCCCAUGUCCCAGUGUCCCCACGUCCCCACCAUACCUACCCACUCAGCCUCAUCCACGCCCUCGAAGGAGUCCUGUGGCAGCGGGUCGUCGCGGUUGCCCAGCCGGGCCACCAUGGCACUGAGGAGCUACGGGGCAAGCCAUGGGGUGGGGACAGGGCUUCGUGGGGGG
This 1296-nucleotide long non-coding RNA is filed under the name Anas platyrhynchos platyrhynchos (common mallard). RNAcentral's name for it is "lncRNA (ENSAPLG00000027096.1)". The record is from RNAcentral. Lineage: Eukaryota; Metazoa; Chordata; Aves; Anseriformes; Anatidae.